GAUGAAGAACGUAGUGAAUUGCGAUAAGUAAUGUGAAUUGCAGAAUUCAGUGAAUCAUCGAAUCUUUGAACGCAGCUUGCGCUCUCUGGUAUUCCGGAGAGCAUGCCUGUUUCAGUGUCAUGAAAUCUCAACCACUAGGGUUUCCUAAUGGAUUGGAUUUGGGCGUCUGCGAUUUCUGAUCGCUCGCCUUAAAAGAGUUAGCAAGUUUGACAUUAAUGUCUGGUGUAAUAAGUUUCACUGGGUCCAUUGUGUUGAAGCGUGCUUCUAAUCGUCCGCAAGGACAAUUACUUUGACUCUGGCCUGAAAUCAGGUAGGACUACCCGCUGAACUUAAGCAUAUCAAUAAGCGGAGGA
Molecule: unclassified non-coding RNA, 353 nt
Filed under: soil metagenome
Description: partial contains 5.8S ribosomal RNA, internal transcribed spacer 2, and large subunit ribosomal RNA
Rfam family: 5.8S ribosomal RNA (bases 1-120)
Source: RNAcentral